CCCGACUGGUCAGUUUUUGUAAACAAACGACGUAAAGUCGAGGGAACUCUGCCGUUCUCAUUCACGACUGGGGGUAGUGUUUACCAAUACCAGUUCCUCUCGAUGCCGGAGGGCAGUCAGUGUGUGGAGGAAAACGAAGCUGUCAACAUCCAAUCACGUACAUCUCUACUACUGAGACAGUUGACGUGGGAACAGACACAAACCAACUCAUUUCGUGUCGGAGUAAGUCCUGUCAGUGUGUGACACCCUCCUUGAUGUCGACUGGUACCCAGAAGAGCAUGAACACAUCUUGGUGCACAAUUGCUGUCCAGUGUACACCAGAUACAUGCGACUGUGCUACACAAUAUGAGGCACCAGGUGAUGCUGACAGCAAGAACAAUAUGCCUGACACAACUGAUGAUGGAAAUGACACUGAUGAAGAUUACAAUCCACAUUCAAGUCAGAUCAAGUUCGAGGAAUUU
Long non-coding RNA from Haliotis rubra (blacklip abalone), 461 nucleotides. RefSeq lists it as uncharacterized. The record is from RefSeq and is a predicted model, not a curated record. The transcript has 4 exons. Lineage: Eukaryota; Metazoa; Mollusca; Gastropoda; Lepetellida; Haliotidae.